RNAcentral lists this ribosomal RNA (427 nucleotides) under uncultured bacterium. RNAcentral's name for it is "partial 16S ribosomal RNA". It matches the Rfam family "Bacterial small subunit ribosomal RNA", at positions 355 to 774 of the family's 1533-position model. The record is from RNAcentral.
UGGGGAAUAUUGGACAAUGGGCGAAAGCCUGAUCCAGCCAUGCCGCGUGUAUGAAGAAGGCCUUCGGGUUGUAAAGUACUUUCAGCGGGGAGGAAGGCGAUAAGGUUAAUAACCUUGUCGAUUGACGUUACCCGCAGAAGAAGCACCGGCUAACUCCGUGCCAGCAGCCGCGGUAAUACGGAGGGUGCAAGCGUUAAUCGGAAUUACUGGGCGUAAAGCGCACGCAGGCGGUCUGUCAAGUCGGAUGUGAAAUCCCCGGGCUCAACCUGGGAACUGCAUUCGAAACUGGCAGGCUAGAGUCUUGUAGAGGGGGGUAGAAUUCCAGGUGUAGCGGUGAAAUGCGUAGAGAUCUGGAGGAAUACCGGUGGCGAAGGCGGCCCCCUGGACAAAGACUGACGCUCAGGUGCGAAAGCGUGGGGAGCAAACA